AACGUUACCAAACUGUUGCCUCGGCGGGAUCUUCUGCCCCGGGUGCGUCGCAGCCCCGGACCAAGGCGCCCGCCGGAGGAAUCAACCAAAACUCUUAUUGUAUACCCCCUCGCGGGUUUUUUUUAUAAUCUGAGCCUUCUCGGCGCCUCUCGUAGGCGUUUCGAAAAUGAAUCAAAACUUUCAACAACGGAUCUCUUGGUUCUGGCAUCGAUGAAGAACGCAGCGAAAUGCGAUAAGUAAUGUGAAUUGCAGAAUUCAGUGAAUCAUCGAAUCUUUGAACGCGCAUUGCGCCCGCCAGUAUUCUGGCGGGCAUGCCUGUCCGAGCGUCAUUUCAACCCUCGAACCCCUCCGGGGGGUCGGCGUUGGGGAUCGGCCUUCCUUCACGGGGGCCGUCUCCGAAAUACAGUGGCGGUCUCGCCGCAGCCUCUCCUGCGCAGUAGUUUGCACACUCGCAUCGGGAGCGCGGCGCGUCCACAGCCGUUAAACACCCAACCUUCUGAAAUGUUGACCUCGGAUCAGGUAGGAAUACCCGCUGAACUUA
Molecule: ribosomal RNA, 541 nt
Filed under: uncultured Hypocreaceae
Lineage: Eukaryota; Fungi; Ascomycota; Sordariomycetes; Hypocreales
Description: eukaryotic LSU rRNA
Rfam family: 5.8S ribosomal RNA (bases 176-329)
Source: RNAcentral